GCGGAUGGAUCUUCUCAAUGAGACAAGCGAGGCAGGCUUUAGCAAUCAUUUCCCCGUUGAUUCUAAGCAAGGUUUAACGAAGUCAACUCAUGAACCACUGCCUUGUGCUGAGUUCAUGGGUCCAGUAGGUUUGGUCCAAAUGGAUGAACGUAUUGUAAAACCUAUGGUCAUGGAGAAGGGAAGGCAUUCAUGCCAUGGAAAGAGAG
Molecule: long non-coding RNA, 206 nt
Filed under: Phoenix dactylifera (date palm)
Lineage: Eukaryota; Viridiplantae; Streptophyta; Magnoliopsida; Arecales; Arecaceae
Description: long non-coding RNA (PDAC_LNC000843)
Source: RNAcentral